This 20-nucleotide microRNA is filed under the name Macrophomina phaseolina MS6. Its description in RNAcentral is "miR-466i-5p". The record is from RNAcentral. Lineage: Eukaryota; Fungi; Ascomycota; Dothideomycetes; Botryosphaeriales; Botryosphaeriaceae.
GGUGUGUGCGUGUGUGUGUG